Molecule: ribosomal RNA, 253 nt
Filed under: uncultured bacterium
Lineage: Bacteria
Description: partial 16S ribosomal RNA
Rfam family: Bacterial small subunit ribosomal RNA
Source: RNAcentral
GACGGAGGGUGCAAGCGUUGCUCGGAAUCACUGGGCGUAAAGGGUGCGUAGGCGGCUGUGUAAGUCUGGCGUGAAAGCCCCGGGCUCAGCCCGGGAAGUGCGCUCGAAACUGCGCAGCUCGAGUGCCGGAGGGGAGAGUGGAAUUCCAGGUGUAGCGGUGAAAUGCGUAGAUAUCUGGAGGAAUACCGGUGGCGAAGGCGGCAUCCUGGACCGGUAUUGACGCUGAGGAGCGAAAGCCAGGGGAGCAAACGGG